This 253-nucleotide ribosomal RNA is filed under the name uncultured bacterium. Its description in RNAcentral is "partial 16S ribosomal RNA". It matches the Rfam family "Bacterial small subunit ribosomal RNA", at positions 524 to 776 of the family's 1533-position model. The record is from RNAcentral.
UACGUAGGUGGCAAGCGUUGUCCGGAUUUACUGGGUGUAAAGGGCGCGUAGGCGGGCUCGUAAGUCAGACGUGAAAUACCGGGGCUCAACCCCGGGGCUGCGUUUGAAACUGCGAGUCUUGAGUGCCGGAGAGGAAAGCGGAAUUCCUAGUGUAGCGGUGAAAUGCGUAGAUAUUAGGAGGAACACCAGUGGCGAAGGCGGCUUUCUGGACGGUAACUGACGCUGAGGCGCGAAAGCGUGGGGAGCAAACAGG